RNAcentral lists this ribosomal RNA (254 nucleotides) under uncultured bacterium. RNAcentral's name for it is "partial 16S ribosomal RNA". It matches the Rfam family "Bacterial small subunit ribosomal RNA", at positions 524 to 776 of the family's 1533-position model. The record is from RNAcentral.
UACGUAGGGUGCGAGCGUUGUCCGGAAUUAUUGGGCGUAAAGAGCUCGUAGGCGGUGUGUCACGUCGAUCGUGAAAACUUUCAGCUUAACUGGGAGCUUGCGGUCGAUACGGGCAUCACUGGAGUUCGGCAGGGGAGACUGGAAUUCAAGGUGUAGCGGUGAAAUGCGCAGAUAUCUUGAGGAACACCGGUGGCGAAGGCGGGUCUCUGGGCCGAUACUGACGCUGAGGCGCGACAGCGUGGGGAGCAAACAGG